RNAcentral lists this ribosomal RNA (429 nucleotides) under Verrucomicrobiota bacterium. RNAcentral describes it as "Verrucomicrobia bacterium partial 16S ribosomal RNA". It matches the Rfam family "Bacterial small subunit ribosomal RNA", at positions 355 to 776 of the family's 1533-position model. The record is from RNAcentral. Lineage: Bacteria; Pseudomonadati; Verrucomicrobiota.
UAGGUAAUCUUCGGCAAUGGGGGGAACCCUGACCGAGCAACGCCGCGUGAGUGAAUAAGUUUUUCGGAUCGUAAAGCUCUGUUGUUAAGGAAGAACGAGUGUGAGAAUGGAAAGUUCAUGCUGUUACGCUACUUAACCAGAUAGGGACGGCUAACUACGUGCCAGCAGCCGCGGUAAUACUUAGGUCCCGAGAGUUGUCCGCAUUUAUUGGGCGUAAAGCGAGCGCAGGCGGUUAGAAAAGUCUGAAGUGAAAGGCAGUGGGUCAACCAUUGUAGGCUUUGGAAACUGUUUAACUUGAGUGCAGAAGGGGAGAGUGGAAUUCCAUGUGUAGCGGUGAAAUGCGUAGAUAUAUGGAGGAACAACGGUGGCGAAAGCGGCUCUCUGGUCUGUAACUGACGCUGAGGCUGGAAAGCGUGGGGAGCGAACAGG